Molecule: long non-coding RNA, 545 nt
Organism: Diachasma alloeum
Lineage: Eukaryota; Metazoa; Arthropoda; Insecta; Hymenoptera; Braconidae
Exons: 2
Source: RefSeq, a predicted model, not a curated record
CUACAAUAGUCUUCAAGAGUCUUCGUACUGUAAACGUAAGUUUUUCAUUCUCCUCCAAUGAAGUUUCUCAUAAUUUUCCUGUUGGCGUGUGCUGUGAUGAGCGUCACGGCAAAAGUUUGCAAGAGUGUGGAAGACUGCGAUGACAGCGACUGCAAGAAAGAUUUGAAAGCAAUCUGCGUUGAAGGUAUGUGUCGCUGUGUGGACUACGAAUCGUGGAGAUGGUACACUCUCAUAGCAUUAGGAGGUGAUCCUCGUCUAAUGAAAUAAUGUGCUAUCAAAAAUAUUGUUGCGUAUCCCCCUUCGAAUCCCGAAAUUGUGAACCAUCUGAAGAAUGUCUGUGAAGCCUGUUGAGUUAUGACUGUCAUCUGGAUCUAUCGUCAUUCUUUCCCCUGGAUCCAAAAGAGAUUAUCGACUGGAUUCUGCAUAAUUAAUUAAUGAAUAAACUGUUCGCCCCUUCUAUUUCCUUAAUUACGUGUUCGCCUUUUUCAUUCUUCUGACGUAACAAUAUAUUCAUUUUUUGAAAUAAAUUCAAUGGUAUAACAAGA